RNAcentral lists this ribosomal RNA (138 nucleotides) under uncultured eukaryote. RNAcentral describes it as "partial 18S ribosomal RNA". It matches the Rfam family "Eukaryotic small subunit ribosomal RNA", at positions 1299 to 1458 of the family's 1831-position model. The record is from RNAcentral.
UGGUGGAGUGAUUUGUCUGGUUAAUUCCGAUAACGAACGAGACCUUAACCUGCUAAAUAGUCAGGCCGGCUUUUGCUGGUCGCGGACUUCUUAGAGGGACUGUCGGCGUCUAGCCGACGGAAGUUUGAGGCAAUAACA